RNAcentral lists this ribosomal RNA (462 nucleotides) under Staphylococcus aureus. RNAcentral's name for it is "bacterial SSU rRNA". It matches the Rfam family "Bacterial small subunit ribosomal RNA", at positions 360 to 814 of the family's 1533-position model. The record is from RNAcentral. Lineage: Bacteria; Bacillati; Bacillota; Bacilli; Caryophanales; Staphylococcaceae.
AAUCUUCCGCAAUGGGCGAAAGCCUGACGGAGCAACGCCGCGUGAGUGAUGAAGGUCUUCGGAUCGUAAAACUCUGUUAUUAGGGAAGAACAUAUGUGUAAGUAACUGUGCACAUCUUGACGGUACCUAAUCAGAAAGCCACGGCUAACUACGUGCCAGCAGCCGCGGUAAUACGUAGGUGGCAAGCGUUAUCCGGAAUUAUUGGGCGUAAAGCGCGCGUAGGCGGUUUUUUAAGUCUGAUGUGAAAGCCCACGGCUCAACCGUGGAGGGUCAUUGGAAACUGGAAAACUUGAGUGCAGAAGAGGAAAGUGGAAUUCCAUGUGUAGCGGUGAAAUGCGCAGAGAUAUGGAGGAACACCAGUGGCGAAGGCGACUUUCUGGUCUGUAACUGACGCUGAUGUGCGAAAGCGUGGGGAUCAAACAGGAUUAGAUACCCUGGUAGUCCACGCCGUAAACGAUGAGU